GCUCAACCGGGGAGGGUCAUUGGAAACUGGGGAACUUGAGUGCAGAAGAGGAGAGUGGAAUUCCACGUGUAGCGGUGAAAUGCGUAGAGAUGUGGAGGAACACCAGUGGCGAAGGCGACUCUCUGGUCUGUAACUGACGCUGAGGCGCGAAAGCGUGGGGAGCGAACAGGAUUAGAUACCCUGGUAGUCCACGCCGUAAACGAUGAGUGCUAAGUGUUAGAGGGUUUCCGCCCUUUAGUGCUGCAGCAAACGCAUUAAGCACUCCGCCUGGGGAGUACGGUCGCAAGACUGAAACUCAAAGGAAUUGACGGGGGCCCGCACAAGCGGUGGAGCAUGUGGUUUAAUUCGAAGCAACGCGAAGAACCUUACCAGGUCUUGACAUCCUCUGACAACCCUAGAGAUAGGGCUUCCCCUUCGGGGGCAGAGUGACAGGUGGUGCAUGGUUGUCGUCAGCUCGUGUCGUGAGAUGUCGGGUUAAGUCCCGCAACGAGCGCAACCCUUGAUCUUAGUUGCCAGCAUUCAGUUGGGCACUCUAAGGUGACUGCCGGUGACAAACCGGAGGAAGGUGGGGAUGACGUCAAAUCAUCAUGCCCCUUAUGACCUGGGCUACACACGUGCUACAAUGGGCAGAACAAAG
Molecule: ribosomal RNA, 637 nt
Filed under: uncultured bacterium
Lineage: Bacteria
Description: bacterial SSU rRNA
Rfam family: Bacterial small subunit ribosomal RNA
Source: RNAcentral